This 442-nucleotide ribosomal RNA is filed under the name uncultured bacterium. RNAcentral describes it as "partial 16S ribosomal RNA". It matches the Rfam family "Bacterial small subunit ribosomal RNA", at positions 338 to 795 of the family's 1533-position model. The record is from RNAcentral.
CCUAGGGUGGACAGCAGUGGGGAAUAUUGGGCAAUGGGCGCAAGCCUGACGCAGCCACGCCGCGUGAAGGAAGAAGGCUUUCGGGUUGUAAACUUCUUUUGACAGGGAAGAGUAGAAGACGGUACCUGUCGAAUAAGCCACAGCUAACGACGUGACAGCAGCCGCGGUAAUACGUAGGUGGCAAGCGUUAUCAGGAUUUAUUGGGUGUAAAGGGCGUGAAGGCGGGAAAGCAAGUCAGAUGUGAAAACGCAGGGCUCAACCCUGAGCCUGCAUUUGAAACUGUUUUUCUUGAGUCCUGGAGCGGCAGUCGGAAUUCCGUGUGUAGCGGUGAAAUGCGUAGAGAUGCGGAGGAACACCAGUGGCGAAGGCAGAUUGUUGGACAGUAACUGACGCUGAGGCGCGAAAGCGUGGGGAGCAAACAGGAUUAGAUACCCGGGUAGUC